Meleagris gallopavo (turkey) is the source of this 1079-nucleotide non-coding RNA. The record is from RefSeq and is a predicted model, not a curated record. Lineage: Eukaryota; Metazoa; Chordata; Aves; Galliformes; Phasianidae.
ACAGAAUUAGAGCUUCAAUUAACACUUCUUUUUUUUUCCCUCUAUUUAAACGGAAGGCUGCCCUGUACAAACCACAGAGACUUGUUGGCAAGCCAGCCUACAUACAUUCCUGAGCCGAAGAGUACACUGCAAUAGCAAUAUCUGAAAGAGCACAUAUGCCUCGAGCACCAUUGGAAAUAAGGAUUUUUUAGGACUUGUCUUUUUGUCCUGGAAUUAAUUGCCAUUAAUGGCCAGUUGCCAUUAUUCUCUCCUACUGUCUUUGUCCAGUUUCCAUUGAAGUCCAAGCUUGGAGGAAAAGUGGAGCAGUGCGCAUUAAUAGAUGGAAAAGUAAAGCAAGACAUGCUUCUCUCAUUGCAAAGAUGGCAAUAUGCAAACAGAAGACAGAGAGUCUGGCUAUUAAUCAGACCAGCUGGCAACUUCUCCCAUUUUCAAGAAGAAAGAGUUAAGGAUAAAUAAAUCAGGUCCUCAUCUAGUGUUUGAGUUUUCAUUUGAGACAGCACCUCUGAUGUAGAACAGACUUGCUAGUGUCUUCCACCUAUGUGACCUUGCAUACAGUUGGGAUUUUUUCCUUUAAGUUUUGGUAGAAAUCAUGGAAGCAGAUGGCUUGGGACAGCAUCUGCAGGUGGUUAUACCAGUUAGCUCAGAAGUGAAAGGAACUUGUUCUCAUAACUGAUCUGCAGGUGGAACUGGAAAAAGAUUCUUGAAAGAAAAGGACUUAAAAAUGUGGGUUCUGCUUUUUGCCUUAUUCUCUUAAUUUAAGCAUGUUCAAACAGAAAAAAAAAAAAAAAGAAAAAGAAAAAAAAAAGGAUUCCUGUUGGAGUUUCUGAACAAUGUUUUUGACAAGAGUAUGGUUGAUCAAAAGUGGAGCCAGUUAGCCGGUUGCAAGAGUGUACAAGAACACAAAGUCCAUUUUCACUCCAGAACUGCAUGCUCAAUUUAGGAAUAAAUGCAUCUAUCAGGAACUGGCAGGCCUUUCUUCACAUUGUUACCUGUUUUUUAUUUUGCUUUUGCUUCACUUCAUACACUAAUAAACAGGAGAGCACCAGAGUUGCAGAGAGUUGCAAAGGAAUGACCAAGGA